This is an RNA transcript of Budorcas taxicolor (takin), 1290 nucleotides long. It is a transcript of the gene named ribosome production factor 1 homolog, with no coding region annotated. NCBI's taxonomy places the organism in Eukaryota, Metazoa, Chordata, Mammalia, Artiodactyla, Bovidae. The transcript has 10 exons. The record is from RefSeq and is a predicted model, not a curated record.
ACAAGGAGCAAAAAUACCAUGGCGAAGGCCGGAGACAAGAGCGGCGGCAGCGGAAAGAAAGGCCUGAAACGCAAAGCCGCUACUGAAGAAGCUCAGGAGGCUGCAGUCGGUGAGGAUGGGACGACGGAAAGCGGGGUACAACCCCCAAAGACGGCUGCCUUUCCUCCAGGAUUCAGCAUUUCGGAAAUUAAGAACAAACAGCGGCGACACUUAAUGUUCACGCGGUGGAAACAGCAGCAGCGGAAGGAAAAGUUGGCAGCUAAGAAAAAACUUAAAAAAGAGAGAGAGGCUCUUGGUGAUAAGGCUCCACCAAAGCCUGUACCCAAGACUAUUGACAACCAGCGAGUGUAUGAUGAAACCAUAGUAGAUCCUAAUGAUGAAGAGGUUGCUUAUGAUGAAGCUACAGAUGAAUUUGCUUCUUACUUCAACAGACAGACUUCUCCCAAGAUUCUCAUCACUACGUCAGAUAGACCUCAUGGGAGAACAGUACGACUCUGUGAACAGCUCUCUACAGUUAUACCAAAUUCGCAUGUUUAUUACAGAAGAGGACUGGCUCUGAAAAAAAUUAUUCCACAGUGCAUCUCAAGAGAUUUCACAGACCUGAUUGUUAUUAAUGAAGAUCGUAAAAUACCAAAUGGAUUAAUUCUGAGUCACCUGCCCAGCGGCCCAACCGCUCACUUUAAAAUGAGCAGUGUUCGUCUGCGUAAAGAAAUAAAGAGAAGAGGCAAAGACCCAACAGAACACAUACCAGAAGUAAUUUUGAACAAUUUUACAACACGACUGGGUCACUCUAUUGGACGUAUGUUUGCAUCUCUCUUUCCCCAUAAUCCUCAGUUUAUUGGAAGGCAGGUUGCCACAUUCCACAAUCAACGGGAUUAUAUCUUCUUCAGAUUUCACAGAUACAUAUUCAAGAGUGAAAAGAAAGUGGGAAUUCAGGAACUGGGACCACGUUUUACCUUAAAAUUAAGAUCUCUUCAGAAAGGAACCUUUGAUUCUAAAUAUGGAGAAUAUGAAUGGGUGCAUAAGCCCCAGGAAAUGGAUACAAGUAGAAGAAAAUUCCAUUUAUAAAGGACUGAGAGGAUAGUAUUAAACUGCUGAACACGCCUGUCUGGAGUUUAUGAAACAAGACUUUUCAAAAUGGCAGUUACCGAUUUCAUAAACCUUCUUUCAUCUCUGAACAAAGUAUCAAGUGCCAUGAAUUACCACUAUUUAUGUAGCAAAUAAAAAGUGUUUCACAUGUAAACCGAGUGCACCAGAAAGAAGCCAGUCCACGCGGGAUUUAAAAAAUCA